GUGGCUAUAGUUUAGUGGUAGAACAGUGGUUUGUGGCACCACUGGUUCGGGUUCGAUUCCCGAUAGCCACCCA
This 73-nucleotide transfer RNA is filed under the name Candidatus Moraniibacteriota bacterium. Its description in RNAcentral is "Candidatus Moranbacteria bacterium (sediment metagenome) tRNA-His". It matches the Rfam family "tRNA". Rfam says of the family: Transfer RNA (tRNA) molecules are approximately 80 nucleotides in length. Their secondary structure includes four short double-helical elements and three loops (D, anti-codon, and T loops). Further hydrogen bonds mediate the characteristic L-shaped molecular structure. tRNAs have two regions of fundamental functional importance: the anti-codon, which is responsible for specific mRNA codon recognition, and the 3' end, to which the tRNAs corresponding amino acid is attached (by aminoacyl-tRNA synthetases). tRNAs cope with the degeneracy of the genetic code in two manners: having more than one tRNA (with a specific anti-codon) for a particular amino acid; and 'wobble' base-pairing, i.e. permitting non-standard base-pairing at the 3rd anti-codon position. The record is from RNAcentral. Lineage: Bacteria; Candidatus Moraniibacteriota.